CCAAUAGCGUAUAUUAAAGUUGUUGCAGUUAAAAAGCUCGUAGUUGAACUUCGGGGUUUACCCAUUGGUCAGGCUUAAUUGUCUGCACUGGUGAGAUGAAUCUCUACCUUCUGAGGAACUUUCAUGCCAUUUAUUUGGUGUGAUGGGAAAUCAGGACUGUUACUUUGAAAAAAUUAGAGUGUUUAAAGCAGGCUAACGUCUGAAUACAUUAGCAUGGAAUAAUGAAAUAGGACGGACUGAUUCUAUUUCGUUGGUUUCUAGGGUCACCGUAAUGAUUAAUAGGGAUAGUUGGGGGCAUUAGUAUUCAAUUGUCAGAGGUGAAAUUCUUGGAUUUAUUGAAGACUAACUACUGCGAAAGCAUUUGCCAAGGAUGUUUUCAUUAAUCAAGAACGAAAGUUAGGGGAUCGAAGACGAUCAGAUACCGUCGUAGUCUUAACCAUAAACUAUGCCGACUAGGGAUCGGACGAAGUUAAUUUUAUAAUGACGCGUUCGGCACCUUACG
This 502-nucleotide ribosomal RNA is filed under the name uncultured Glomeromycotina. Its description in RNAcentral is "partial small subunit ribosomal RNA". It matches the Rfam family "Eukaryotic small subunit ribosomal RNA", at positions 591 to 1092 of the family's 1831-position model. The record is from RNAcentral. Lineage: Eukaryota; Fungi; Glomeromycota.